GCCAGCAGCCAUAUCACUCUGCAACUCACAACUGGCAGCCCAGGUGUGAGCCUGGUCAGUACCUGGAUGAGAGACCUCCUCGGAAAAACUAAGGUUGCUGCUGGAA
This is a non-coding RNA of Lepisosteus oculatus (spotted gar), 106 nucleotides long. The record is from Rfam. Lineage: Eukaryota; Metazoa; Chordata; Actinopteri; Semionotiformes; Lepisosteidae.